CAUAUUUUUUAUAUCGAAUUAGAUAUGUAUGAUUUGCUAAAUUGCGGUCGCAAAUAAUGAAGAUCUUGAUUGCUUUUCACGUCAGUGUUUUCCAGAAUCGUUGACGUGACUAGUAUAUUCUCGCUCCUUCUGUUCCCUGGACUUCACUUCCCUGGCUUAUCAUACCGUUUCCUUUUUGUGUAGAAAUGUAUUUAUUUUAUGUAAAGCUUCUUAGAGGAACGAUGUGUGUCUAACACAAA
Molecule: ribosomal RNA, 239 nt
Filed under: Plasmodium cynomolgi
Lineage: Eukaryota; Apicomplexa; Aconoidasida; Haemosporida; Plasmodiidae
Description: partial small subunit ribosomal RNA
Source: RNAcentral